UUGAACAUAAUAAUAAACAUUGUUUUAUUAAGAAAUUAGAGAUUUAAAAAAAAAAAAAAAGUACUCUAUGUAUCUACUUUUAUAUAGUUUUAUGUCAGUUAUCUGACACGCACUAUAUGUUUUUUCCUUUGUAAAUGGUUAUUUACCAUAAUGGAAAUUGCAAAUUUGAGUCCAAAACAGACACUUAAUUGGAUCACUUUUAGAAAUUCAGUUAUGUUGUUAAAUAAUUUGCAAUUCAUUUGUCAGUUAUGCGAGUGACAGUCAGGCAAACUGUAAUCUAUAAUUAGUUGAUGUAAUUUACUUUUCUAAACCUUGGUAUUUUUAAAAAUAAGUUGCAUGUAAAUAUCACCAUCAUAUUGGAAAUCAAAUAUUUUUUUUAAAAGGAGACAUAAUUUGUUUAUUUGCUGUUUUAAAACAAUGAUAUGGGAGGAAUAUAAGCCUCACAGUUUUAUACAAUUGAGAGAAAAGAUAUUAAUUGCAAUAAAAGAUAAGGCAUAGAAACCUGUGUCUGUCUAUCAGUGUCUUGCAGAUUUUCUCCAGACUUGUUUGAUGCCGUGUGAUCCUGGAAACAUCUAACAAUAUUCAAGCGAUCCACCAAUUCUCUUUCUUCUUUAGAGGUGAAUGGGAGGAUCUCUGAGUAUGUGCAAUCAUUC
Non-coding RNA from Pelobates cultripes (western spadefoot toad), 653 nucleotides. The record is from the annotation of a GenBank genome assembly. Lineage: Eukaryota; Metazoa; Chordata; Amphibia; Anura; Pelobatidae.